CCUACGGGGGGCAGCAGUAGGGAAUUUUCGGCAAUGGGGGGAACCCUGACCGAGCAACGCCGCGUGAACGAAGACGUUAUUCGUAAUGUAAAGUUCUUUUAACAGGGAAGAAAGAGAAAUUUGACGGUACCUGAAGAAUAAGUACCGGCUAACUACGUGCCAGCAGCCGCGGUAAUACGUAGGGAGCGAGUGUUAUCCGGAAUUAUUGGGCGUAAAGGGUGCGUAGAUGGCAUAGUAAGUCUUUUGUAAAGAUGCUGGGCUAAACCCAGUAGGGCAAAAGAUACUGCAAAGCUAGAGUAUGCAAGGGGCAAGUGGAACUAAAUGUGUAGCGGUAAAAUGCGUAAAUAUAUGUAAGAACACCAGUGGCGAAGGCGAGUUGCUGGGUCGAUACUGACAUUGAGGCACGAAAGCGUGGGGAGCAAACAGGAUUAGAUACCCGAGUAGUC
This 446-nucleotide ribosomal RNA is filed under the name uncultured bacterium. RNAcentral's name for it is "partial 16S ribosomal RNA". It matches the Rfam family "Bacterial small subunit ribosomal RNA", at positions 338 to 795 of the family's 1533-position model. The record is from RNAcentral.